RNAcentral lists this ribosomal RNA (1344 nucleotides) under uncultured bacterium. RNAcentral describes it as "16S ribosomal RNA". It matches the Rfam family "Bacterial small subunit ribosomal RNA", at positions 28 to 1378 of the family's 1533-position model. The record is from RNAcentral.
GACGAACGCUGUCGGCGUGCUUAACACAUGCAAGUCGAACGGAAAGGCCCUGCUUUUGUGGGGUGCUCGAGUGGCGAACGGGUGAGUAACACGUGAGUAACCUGCCCUUGACUUUGGGAUAACUUCAGGAAACUGGGGCUAAUACCGGAUAGGAGCUCCUGCUGCAUGGUGGGGGUUGGAAAGUUUCGGCGGUUGGGGAUGGACUCGCGGCUUAUCAGCUUGUUGGUGGGGUAGUGGCUUACCAAGGCUUUGACGGGUAGCCGGCCUGAGAGGGUGACCGGCCACAUUGGGACUGAGAUACGGCCCAGACUCCUACGGGAGGCAGCAGUGGGGAAUAUUGCACAAUGGGCGGAAGCCUGAUGCAGCAACGCCGCGUGCGGGGUGACGGCCUUCGGGUUGUAAACCGCUUUCGCCUGUGACGAAGCGUGAGUGACGGUAAUGGGUAAAGAAGCACCGGCUAACUACGUGCCAGCAGCCGCGGUGAUACGUAGGGUGCGAGCGUUGUCCGGAUUUAUUGGGCGUAAAGGGCUCGUAGGUGGUUGAUCGCGUCGGAAGUGUAAUCUUGGGGCUUAACCCUGAGCGUGCUUUCGAUACGGGUUGACUUGAGGAAAGGUAGGGGAGAAUGGAAUUCCUGGUGGAGCGGUGGAAUGCGCAGAUAUCAGGAGGAACACCAGUGGCGAAGGCGGUUCUCUGGGCCUUUCCUGACGCUGAGGAGCGAAAGCGUGGGGAGCGAACAGGCUUAGAUACCCUGGUAGUCCACGCUGUAAACGGUGGGUACUAGGUGUGGGGUCCAUUCCACGGGUUCCGUGCCGUAGCUAACGCUUUAAGUACCCCGCCUGGGGAGUACGGCCGCAAGGCUAAAACUCAAAGGAAUUGACGGGGCCCCGCACAAGCGGCGGAGCAUGCGGAUUAAUUCGAUGCAACGCGUAGAACCUUACCUGGGUUUGACAUGGAUCGGGAGUGCUCAGAGAUGGGUGUGCCUCUUUUGGGGUCGGUUCACAGGUGGUGCAUGGCUGUCGUCAGCUCGUGUCGUGAGAUGUUGGGUUAAGUCCCGCAACGAGCGCAACCCUUGUUCACUGUUGCCAGCACGUUAUGGUGGGGACUCAGUGGAGACCGCCGGGGUCAACUCGGAGGAAGGUGGGGAUGACGUCAAGUCAUCAUGCCCCUUAUGUCCAGGGCUUCACGCAUGCUACAAUGGCUGGUACAGAGAGUGGCGAGCCUGUGAGGGUGAGCGAAUCUCGGAAAGCCGGUCUCAGUUCGGAUUGGGGUCUGCAACUCGACCUCAUGAAGUCGGAGUCGCUAGUAAUCGCAGAUCAGCAACGCUGCGGUGAAUACGUUCCCGGG